UUGAAAGUAAAAAAUCGUAACAAGGUCUCCGUUGGUGAACCAGCGGAGGGAUCAUUACCGAGUUUACAACUCCCAAACCCAAUGUGAACGUUACCAAACUGUUGCCUCGGCGGGAUCUCUGCCCCGGGUGCGUCGCAGCCCCGGACCAAGGCGCCCGCCGGAGGACCAACCAAAACUCUUUUUGUAUACCCCCUCGCGGGUUUUUUAUAAUCUGAGCCUUCUCGGCGCCUCUCGUAGGCGUUUCGAAAAUGAAUCAAAACUUUCAACAACGGAUCUCUUGGUUCUGGCAUCGAUGAAGAACGCAGCGAAAUGCGAUAAGUAAUGUGAAUUGCAGAAUUCAGUGAAUCAUCGAAUCUUUGAACGCACAUUGCGCCCGCCAGUAUUCUGGCGGGCAUGCCUGUCCGAGCGUCAUUUCAACCCUCGAACCCCUCCGGGGGGUCGGCGUUGGGGAUCGGCCCUGCCUCUUGGCGGUGGCCGUCUCCGAAAUACAGUGGCGGUCUCGCCGCAGCCUCUCCUGCGCAGUAGUUUGCACACUCGCAUCGGGAGCGCGGCGCGUCCACAGCCGUUAAACACCCAACUUCUGAAAUGUGACCUCGGAUCAGGUGGGAAGUAACCACCCCAC
This 622-nucleotide ribosomal RNA is filed under the name Trichoderma harzianum. RNAcentral's name for it is "eukaryotic LSU rRNA". The stretch from base 258 to 411 matches the Rfam family "5.8S ribosomal RNA". The record is from RNAcentral. Lineage: Eukaryota; Fungi; Ascomycota; Sordariomycetes; Hypocreales; Hypocreaceae.